GGAUGAGCCCGCGGCCUAUCAGYUUGUUGGUGGGGUGAUGGCCUACCAAGGCGACGACGGGUAGCCGGCCUGAGAGGGCGACCGGYCACACUGGGACUGWGACACGGCCCASACUCCUACGGSAGGCAGCAGUGGGGAAUACUGCGCAAUGGGCGGAAGCCUGACGCAGCGACGCCGCGUGGGGGAUGACGGCCUUCGGGUUGUAAACCUCUUUCGGCCCCGACGAAGCGUGAGUGACGGUAGGGGUAGAAGAAGCACCGGCCAACUACGUGCCAGCAGCCGCGGUAACACGUAGGGUGCGAGCGUUGUCCGGAAUUAUUGGGCGUAAAGAGCUCGUAGGCGGCUUGUCACGUCGGAUGUGAAAGCCCGGGGCUUAACCCCGGGUCUGCAUUCGAUACGGGCAGGCUAGAGUUCGGUAGGGGAGAUCGGAAUUCCUGGUGUAGCGGUGAAAUGCGCAGAUAUCAGGAGGAACACCGGUGGCGAAGGCGGAUCUCUGGGCCGAUACUGACGCUGAGGAGCGAAAGCGUGGGGAGCGAACAGGAUUAGAUACCCUGGUAGUCCACGCCGUAAACGUUGGGAACUAGGUGUGGGCGACAUUCCACGUUGUCCGCGCCGCAGCUAACGCAUUAAGUUCCCCGCCUGGGGAGUACGGCCGCAAGGCUAAAACUCAAAGGAAUUGACGGGGGCCCGCACAAGCGGCGGAGCAUGUGGCUUAAUUCGACGCAACGCGAAGAACCUUAC
This 741-nucleotide ribosomal RNA is filed under the name uncultured actinomycete. RNAcentral describes it as "bacterial SSU rRNA". It matches the Rfam family "Bacterial small subunit ribosomal RNA", at positions 223 to 974 of the family's 1533-position model. Lineage: Bacteria; Bacillati; Actinomycetota; Actinomycetes; Actinomycetales. The record is from RNAcentral.